UACGUAGGCAGCGAGCGUUGUUCGGAGUUACUGGGCGUAAAGCGUGCGUAGGCGGUGUUCCAAGUCUGUUGUGAAAUCUCCCGGCUUAACUGGGAGGGUGCGGCGGAAACUGGAACGCUGGAGUAUGGGAGAGGUAAGCGGAAUUCCCGGUGUAGCGGUGAAAUGCGUAGAUAUCGGGAGGAAUACCUAUGGCGAAAGCAGGCUACUGGACCGUCACUGACUCUGAUCUGCGAAAGCUAGGGGAGCAAACAGG
Molecule: ribosomal RNA, 253 nt
Filed under: uncultured bacterium
Lineage: Bacteria
Description: partial 16S ribosomal RNA
Rfam family: Bacterial small subunit ribosomal RNA
Source: RNAcentral